UACGUAGGCCCCAAGCGUUAUCCGGAAUUACUGGGUGUAAAGGGUUUGUAGGCGGGAUGGAAAGUCAGAUGUGAAAGGCUGGGGCUCAACCCCAUGUUUGCAUCCGAAACUCCCAUUCUUGAAUGAGGGAGAGGUAAGCAGAAUCGUAUGAGUAGGGGUGCAAUCCGUUGAUACAUACGAGAAUACCAAAAGCGAAGGCAGCUUACUGGAACUCUAUUGACGCUGAGGAACGAAAGCGUGGGGAGCGAAAAGG
This 253-nucleotide ribosomal RNA is filed under the name uncultured bacterium. Its description in RNAcentral is "partial 16S ribosomal RNA". It matches the Rfam family "Bacterial small subunit ribosomal RNA", at positions 524 to 776 of the family's 1533-position model. The record is from RNAcentral.